AGGAACUGUAGCAAGUAUGUAGAUUGCAUAUGUAUCGAAAACAUAAAGUGCAAACUAUGCUAUUACAAGCAUUCAUCUCAGAGAUUCUUUUACAUUUACAAUAUUUUACAUUUACAUAACCACAUAUGCUUUUAAGUUAAUACGAAACUUAUACAAAUUAUUACAAUUUUGUUUCUUUCCAUUUGAACUCUGAACUUGACCUCUUCAGGGUGUUGCUAUCUCAGUCUUAGUGGUGGGGCGCUAUCUAUGAAGCGACGCCCUGUCCUCGCGCCGCCGCGCCGCUCACGUGUAACCUGUACCCCCAAAACAACACGGGGGUGAGAACUAUAUAAAUAUAGUUCCCAGUGGGUACGGCACCCAAGAGAAGAGCUCGACCCACCAGGUCCAAAGGAGGCAACAGUAGGUUAGUUCAACAAAUAGAUAGAUAGAUACUACAAUUUUGUUUCUUUCCAUUUGAACUCUGAACUUGACCUCUUCAGGGUGUUGCUAUCUCAGUCUUAGUGGUGGGGCGCUAUCUAUGAAGCUACGCC
Molecule: long non-coding RNA, 530 nt
Filed under: Ananas comosus (pineapple)
Lineage: Eukaryota; Viridiplantae; Streptophyta; Magnoliopsida; Poales; Bromeliaceae
Description: long non-coding RNA (ACOM_LNC039368)
Source: RNAcentral